UGGGCGAAAGCCUGAUCCAGCCAUGCCGCGUGUGUGAAGAAGGUCUUCGGAUUGUAAAGCACUUUAAGUUGGGAGGAAGGGCAGUAAGUUAAUACCUUGCUGUUUUGACGUUACCGACAGAAUAAGCACCGGCUAACUUCGUGCCAGCAGCCGCGGUAAUA
This 161-nucleotide ribosomal RNA is filed under the name Pseudomonas sp. BG3. RNAcentral's name for it is "partial 16S ribosomal RNA". It matches the Rfam family "Bacterial small subunit ribosomal RNA", at positions 372 to 525 of the family's 1533-position model. Lineage: Bacteria; Pseudomonadati; Pseudomonadota; Gammaproteobacteria; Pseudomonadales; Pseudomonadaceae. The record is from RNAcentral.